AGAAUCCCUGAAUGGUUUGGGUUGGGAGGGACCUUAAAGCCCAUCCAGUCCCAUCCCCUGCCAUGGCAGGGACACCUUCCACUAUCCCAGGCUGCUCCAAGCCCUGUCCAGCCUGGCCUUGGACACUGCCAGAGGUGGGGCAGCCCCAGCUGCUCUGGGCAGAAGGUGCCAGGGUCUCACAGCCAAGAAUUCCUUCCCAAUAUCCCAUCUAUCCCUGCCCUCUGGCAGUGGGGAGCCAUUCCCCUUGUCCUGUCCCUCCAUCCCUUGUCUCAGAGUUCCUCUCCUGCUCUCCUGGAGCCCCUCUGGGCUCUGGAAGGGGCUCUCAGGUCUCCCUGGAUCCUUCAUUUCUCAGACUGGGCACCCCCAGCCCUCAGCCCGGUUCAGAGCAGAGUUGUUGCCCUUUGCUGUGGCGUUUCCCCGGGUGGGUUUUGGCUCUCCCAUCCCUGCCAUUGCCCACGGGAGCUGCAGGACAGGACUCCUGAGCCGACCCAGCGGGGGAACCCCCGAGGCACCUCCAUUUCUCCUGAUGUUUCCAGCCUCCGUCCCUUGCCCCGAGCUGGGGCGGGCGGGGGAGCAGCUCGGAGCUUGGGAAAAGCCCCGAGGAGCCGCAGGCCGAGCCCGGCAGGGCCGGCUGGGCACGCCGCAGCUUGCCGGGAUGCGGGCGGGCUCUCCCGGAGCCCGGGGCUCAGCCCGUGUCCCCGGGCACGGAGGCCGAUGGAGCUGCGGGGCCGCUUCCCAAAGCCGACAGCGCGGGGCAGCAGCGCCUCGGCAUCGCUCCCUGCUGCCUGUGCCUGGGUGCACUGCGAUGUGCUCCUUGGGUUCAGCCGCUUUCCCUCUCUCGGCAGGAGCAGCCCUCGCCGCGAUGCCGGAGCCGUGAGUAGCUGCGCUCCCCGGGAUCCCCAAAGCCUCGCCCGGCUGCGCUUGUCCCUUCGGGGAGGAUCCGCUGGGAGACCCUGCCCUGCCCCAGACUCUGUGCCAUCCCCCUUGCAAAAACCGGCUUUAAAUGCAAAUUGUUUGCCCUUUCAAUGUCCCAGUUCAAACCUCGGGGCUUUCCCAGAUCCCCAAAUGCAGAUUGGAGGGGAGGGAGCACCUCUGGAUUUGCCGUGA
This 1107-nucleotide long non-coding RNA is filed under the name Camarhynchus parvulus. RNAcentral describes it as "lncRNA (ENSCPVG00000018246.1)". Lineage: Eukaryota; Metazoa; Chordata; Aves; Passeriformes; Thraupidae. The record is from RNAcentral.